GGUAAAUCUCUUUUCCUUACUCUUUUUUUUUAAAACGAAUAUCAAUCAUGAAGAAAAUCCAAAAGAAAAACGAAUGAGAUGCUAGAUUUAAAACAAUCACCUUUUCAAUUCGUGAUUUCUGCUUUUUUCUAUUUGAUAUCUUUUUGUAUGUGUUUUUUCGUAAAAAAAGAAGGGGCUUUUACAAUCGAAAAAUGAAAGGCUUUAUAGCCGAAUCAUCAAAAUAAAAUAAUAAACACAAUUUUCUUUUUCUUUUUUCAUAUUGGCUUGUUGCUGCUGUUGUUUGUCUAUUUCUUCGCAGGUACGGAGUGUGCGUGGUGCGAGUACGGGGGCUGUGCUGGUGUACAGAGGCGCGGGCGUGGCUGCUGAAGGGUACGAAGGUGGGGCUGCUGCGGCGCAAGCAGAGAUUGCUAGGGUUCUGCUUUGAUUUUUUUUGUUUUUGGGCUGUAGGGUAUUUGGGUCUAGGUUUGGGCUUGUAAUAAGUUUGGGCUAAGUUAGGGUAUUUGGGUCAUUGUAAUAACUUUGGGCCUUGGACUGUUUCUAUUUUUACUUGGGUUUUUUAUGUAUUUGUUUGUAACGGGCUGGGCAAAUUUGGCCCACUACAGUUGCCCCUCUUUGCUUAUUGUCGUGUAACGAGAAUAGAGCAAAGACUAUAAAUGGGCCAAUUUUGCCUGGACGUGCUGAGUUUCGACUUCUUUUGACGCUUCUUUUCUUCAUGUAGCUUCAAUAUGCUCCACGGCAACUUCAGGGAGACAUGGUUCGUGUGUUUUUAUCCUGCUUUACAGCAAUUUCAGAGAGAUAAGGAUUGUGACUUCGAUCAGCUCCACUGUAACUUCAGGAAGACAAGAUCUGCAAUUUUCAGCCUGUUACCCUACUACUUAGGGGGUUAAGGCUUGUUUUCUUCGAUCUACUCCGCCGGAGACAAGAUCUGCAAUCUUCAACCUACUCCACUACAACUUUAGGGAGAUAGGAUGGUGGCUUAAAUUUGCUUCACUACAACUUCAGGAAGACAAGAUUCGCCGUUUUCGAUCUGCUCCACUGCAACUUUAGGGAAACUGUAACAGCCCGUUUUUAGGGUUGAUCGGAACAGUGGUUUCGGGGCCACCAAAUCCGAACGAGUAGGUUGAUAAAUAUUAUAUUUAAUAUUUAUGAGUUAAUUGUGAUUUUAAAAAUGUUUUUGAUAUUGUGAUUUUUGUUUUAUAAGCGAUUUAUUAAGUUCAAGUGGUAUGACUCUAAGGUCAAGUGGGUUUAGAAAAUGAGGUAUCGGGACCUUGUUUCUAUAAACCGAGUCGUAAAUAUUUUUGUAAAUAUUUACGUAGUGGCAAUAAGAUGGUAUUAAAGUUUCGUUGAAAAAUUUUAUCGUUUCGAUAGUUAAUUUGCAAAAAGGACUAAAUUGUGUAAAGUGCAAAAGUUGUGUUCUAUAACCUAAAGGUAUUAAAUAGAUAUAGAACUUAAAAGUAGAAGUCUUUAUUUGGUAAUUAGCCCAUUAAAGAGAUAGUGGGAUAUGAUGGCUUGGCAUUUGGUGUAAUAAAUAAAGUGUAUAAAGGUUAAUAUUGUAAAUUGGUUAAUAAUAAUAAUAAAAUGAAUAUAAUAAAAGAAUCAAUGUGUCAUCUUUUUCAUUCUCUUUUACUAGCCGAAUAUGAAGGCUUGAGAAGCCAUGGAAGAAGCUUCCAACUUUCAGCUAAUGCAUGAUCAAGAUCGGGUGGAAAAUCGAGAAAAAUAAGAAAAUUACCAAAAUGCCCCUGAACUUUGGUAUCUCUACAAUUUAGCCAGGUAAGUUCGUAUGCAAUAAGCAUUGUUAAAUUUAUGUUUCUAAUGCUUUAAUAUCGUAUAAAUUGUAUAUACAUGAAUAUUUUAAUGUCUGACGACAUAUCGACAAAAUGUGGCACUUAGUGUGCGGGGCAAUCAAAUAUGGUACUCAGUGUACGAAAUAUUGAGAAUGGCACUUAGUGUGCGAGAUAUUGAGAAUGACACGUAGUGUGCAAAAUAUCGAAUGAUUCAAAGGGAAAUUAUAAAUUGUGAUUGAAUGAUUAAAUAGAGCAAAGUAAACAGGUAUACAUGCUAUAUUAUAUGAAUUGUUUAUGAAACCUUGUGUUAAAUCGGCAAUUGAAUUUGUUCAAUACAUUAAGUUGGCCAGGUAUGUGAUAUAUACUUAUGCAUGUUAGAUUGAUUGGAAUUGAAUCAUGAAUGUGAAAUGAGAAGCUUUGGUGAAAAUGCCUAUGUCAUAUAUGUGAGUAAGGGCAAAACCAUCGUAAAUUAUCGAUAAGGGUGGACUAUGUGCGGAAUCAUCUUAUAAUUGCUAAUUUGAACGGUUGUGUGCAAAUCAUUGAGCAUGAUGUAUUUUAUUGAGAUUAUGCUUAAGUGAAAUUAUAAAUAUGUGGUGAAAUUGAUUGGUGAUAUACAUGUUUAAAUAAUGUGAAUGCAAAGAAUGUGUGAAAGAGUAAAUUUGUAAUAAAUCUGCUUGGGACAGCAGCAGUAACGUGAUUUUGGAAAAUCACCAUAAAUUUUUGGAGUUGAGUUAAAAGCUUAAUAAAUUAUGUAAUUAAAUCUUAAUGAGUCUAGUUUCUUAUAAAAGAAACCGUGUAAGCAAAAGAAUUUCUGAUAAUGAGAUAUUUGAAGUGGCGUGGGAUAGAGUCAAAUGACUUCGGGGUCCCCUGUUCUGUUUUUAUAAAAUCAUUAUAAUUUUUACAAAAAUGGUUAUAAGAUAAAAUUUAUAUGCUUAGACUCCUUAAUGAGUCUAGUUUCAAAUGAAAUCAAAGAGAACAUAUUUUGAAUUCUUUACAAUGAGAAAUUUGAUUCGUAGUGAAGAGUGGUUAGAUUAGUCAAACAGUGAAACAGGGGAAACUUUAAGAAAAAUCUGGUAUCGAUUGGCCAAACCAAAAAUUCUGAAAAUUUUAUGGAUGGAAGAUAUAUGAGUAUAUUUUCAGAGAAAAUUAACAGCAAUUGAUUUGGAGUUUUGUAGCUCCAGUUAUAAAUAAUUUAGUGACUAUUGCUCAGGAAGACAACUUGUAGUGAAUUUGUGAUUAUGUUGUAAACAUUGAUAAAACUUGUUAAUGAGUUGCUUAUUGUUUUCUUAUGAACUUACUAAGCGUAAAGCUUACUCCCCUUUUCUUUCCCAUAUUCCCUAGGGUUGCCAGGUUAGCUCGGGUUGGAGGCCGUCAAAGAUAUUAUCAUAUUGUCAAGUCUACGCUAUCGGCGUAAGUAAAUCUUAGUGUUUCGAGUCUAUGGCAUAUAUAGGGUUGUAAAGUUGAGUAAGUAAAUGAUACAAGACUAAGAUAUUGGUAAAUAUUUAAUAAUGCCUCAUGAAUAUUUUGGGCCUUGUAAGCCCGAUUAAAGGAUAAUAUACGUGUGUAUGAAAAGUUUAAAAUUGAUCAAAAAAUUUUACGGUCUAUUUUUAUAUAAAUAGAUGAGUUUAAAUCUGGUAGCACCUCGAACCCUGUUCCGGCGAGGGAUACGGGCGAAUGGUGUUACAUUUUAUUGGUAUCAGAGCCAUGUUUUAGUCGGUUCUAGGACUACCAUGGCGUAUGUGAGUCUAGCUGUACAUGCCAUAUUUGACCUGCGAUAGUGUGAUAUCUCCUGACUCUGACGAAAAUUAUUUGAAUAGGACAGAUAAGUCUUUCAAUCAAGCUAAUUUUAAUAGUAUAAAAUAUGUACUCAGAUGUUUGAAUGAAAUUGUGUUCUAUACUGAUUUGAUUAAAUUAAAGUUGGCUCUGAAAUGUUUAAGUGUUCAUGAAUAUAUGAAUCCAAAGUUAAAUGAAAUGAUAUGUUCAAAGUGCACAUAUGUGAUGUUUUAUAGACUUGGUUACGUCACUUCAAUGUGCAACAACAAGUGAACAUAGGCACUGUGUGUGUGAGUUCCGUAACCGAGCACUGUGUGUGCGAGAUCCGUUGUUGAGGCACUAUGUGUACGAGUUCUGUAACCGAGCACUGUGUGUGCGAGAUCGGUUGUUGAGCCACUGUGUGUGCGAGUUCCGUAACCAAGCACUGUGUGUGCGAGAUCGGUUGUUGAGGCACUGUGUGUGCGAGUUCUGUAACCGAGCACUGUGUGUGCAAGAUCGGUUGUUGGGGCACUAAGUGUGUGAAAUGAGAUCAUGUAAGACCUCGUCCGAGAUGAAGGCAUUGAUUUGAAGUAGUGUAUAAGAACGUGUCUGGGACACUGGCAUCACUUAUGAUUCGUGUAAGACCCUGUCCGGGACAAUGGCAUCGAUAUUGAAUAAACUUGGUCAGAUGUAUGUAGUCCAUGUGAAAAUGAGACGUGAUAAAUAACAGAUAAAUAUAUGCUAUAUGUGCUUGACAUGUGACCUUGUGGUUCCAUGAAUCAAACAUGGAAAAAUAUGACAUGUUUUGGUUGGUAUGUAUUGGAUAUGUGCAAGUUUUGUUCAUACGAAUGAAUUGAAAGUUAUCACACGAAUUUAAAAUCAUAGUCGCAAGUUAUUUGUAAAUAUAAAUAAGUGAAGCUAUUUAAUAAGGUUAUAUGAACUUAAGAGUACUAUGAAUGUAUAUGCAAUUGAGAUUAUUUUUCAAUUCGAAUUAGUGAUAUGGAAUUUUCAUAAUCAUUGAAAUGAUUUAUUUGCUUAAGGCUUACUAAGCUUUCAAAGCUUAUUCUGUGUGUUUUUCACAAGACAGAUAUGCUUUCCACCCGAGCUAAUUCUGAUAGUACAGAAUGUUAUACUCAAACGUUUGAGUGAAAAUGUGUUGGUGAUGAGUUGAAACUCAUAAAAAGGUAUGAAUCAGAAUGCAUGAUAUUCUACUAUUGAUAAAUGUUAUAAUUAUAUGAGUAUAUGAGUUGUGAUGUUGGGUAUAUGAUUGUUGUCUGAAUAUUUUGAUUUGGAAUUUAUGAUUUGAUUUAGCGCAUGAGCUAUGUGUUAAGUACCAAGUGAUCAUAAGUAAAUGAUUGCUAGAUGUUUGAGAAUGCGAAAUUAGUAAUGAACUGUUCGUUCAUAAUAGUAUGUGUGAUGUGCAUACUUACGUAAGAGUUAAAAUUGUUGGCUUUACAACCCUCACCCCCUCAUUCGUAAAGCAUUAUAAUGAGAUCCGUACUAUAUGACUUAAAUAAGCUUACAAGUGCGGAAUGACAGAGUCUCGGGAUUGAAGGAUUAGUAUUGUGAUCAGAUAAGAGAAUGAGUCCGCAAGUGAAGACAGUAACAGAAAAGAUAUUGGAUCGUGUUGAAGGCCAUUUGUAAUAUGCAAAGUCACUGUUAAAAGAAAAGUUGAAUUAGAUGAAACCAAAUAUUCAGGUAUGAUAUCUAAAGAACAUAUUAACUGGAAGUUCUUCUGAAUUGGCCUCCGUUAGUGUUGGGAUAAUGAGAAAUUAGUGAUGUCAGAGAUAGAUAGUAGAAUCAUAUUUGAAUUAUAAAGAUAUUUGAGCACAUCGAUUAUAGUCGAAUGGUUUACGAGAACUCUUCUAGGUACUCUAUGUGUUCAAUUAUCCUCAGAGGUAUGUGAAGCUGUAUAUUUUCAGAUGAAAUUCUUAACAUAUGAGAACGUUAUCUAUAUAUAUUGAUAUAUGAAAGCAUUGUUGGGCUGUUCGGGUUACAAUCAGCAUUAUUAUAUCUUUCUCUGGUAUUCUAUUUCAUUUUAUUGAAAGAAAAGAUCGACGAUUAAAUCUGUGUGAUGUUGGUAUUCUGCUCCUACUGGUUGUUGAUCUGCUUAGUAUACAUGAAGAUUAUAUUGUUUCUGUUACUGUUGAUUCCGAUGCAUAUGAGUGAUGCUUUACUUCUGGAUUUCCACUGAGACAUCAUUGAGAUAUCUGUCAUCUGAUAUGGGUGCUUUCUUUAAAAAAAGAUUAGUAUAGUGAUAUAUUUGAGAAUUACAGUAUCUCUGCUUUCUUAUGAUUCUAUAUGGUUAUCUGUGAAAAAUAUCUAUUGAAUGAUUGUAACUAUAUUUCAAUUUCUCUUAUGUUCAAAAUGCAUUAUUGAUAAUUGGGACAUUAUAUAUCUAUACGGUUGAGAUGUCAGCCUUAUUAUGGCACUAUGAUUUUAAAUUAUCUGAUGGUUGUGGCUUCAGUAUGGUUCAAAGCUUCGUUGAUUAAUAAUUGAAAAGUUAUUACUUGACAGUCGAGAUCGAUUCAGUUGUCUAGUUUGAUUAGAUUAAUUGCUUGAAGGAUUAAUCGAGUUACUUGUAUCUGAAUCUAUCCUCAGGGUGGAAAUAAAGUUUGAAUGGUCACGGAUAAAUAGAUGAAUAUUCUGAAUGCAGGAUUCAUAUUCUAGAAGAUAUGAUACAGAAUUAUAUCCAUCAGAACGAUUUUAUUGAGAAAUGUUCUUAUAGAUCGCGAUUGGGAAGUCUGAAUGAUGUGAUAAUUAUCAAUAAAGUGGUAAACAGUUGAAGAAAUUGUUAAUUGAAGUGUCAGUUCUCAGGUAAAGAGUUAUUCGACACAAGAAUUAAAGAUGGUUUGAACUGUUGAAAGAUUAUGAGUCAGCGAUUGAUUAUCAAUCUAGGCAAAUGAUUAUAGUCUUUGGGGUUCUGAACGAGAAUCUUUAUGUGUUUUACGGCCGAUAAUCAUGUGAUUAAUCUUAUCAAAUGAUGAGUAGUUAUUAGCUGAGCUAGAAACUAAAUUGAUGUUUAAUUAGCAAAUUUGUGAGGUUAAGAGGUGUGUCAGUGAAUUACAAGUUAAAAAGGGUACAACGUAAAUUGAUUUCUAAUUUAAAAUUUCAGAUUGGAAUCGAAAAUUGUUCGUUAUGUCGAGAUAGAGUUCGUGUAUUGAGAAAUCCAGAGAUUUUACAACAAUUGUGACAUCUAGCACAGUGGUAAUUAUCUAUCCGUACGGGGAGUACUAAAAGAGUGCUAGUUUUCAUUGUUCAAAUGGAGACACGAGGAUUAUAUAGUGUUACUAAAAUAAACUACUAUGAGCUUUGGGUAUGGAAUUACUUUGUAACACUGUGUUCUAGAACUUGAAAGCAACCGAGAAAGACAUUUAUUGUUUGUUAAGUUUGCAUAUAAUAAUAAUAGUUAUGAGAUGAAUGUUAAGAUAGCAUUGUAUGGGUGUGGUAUGGUUGCAAUUACUGAACUUCGUUGUAUUGAAUUGAAUUUUUAUAAAAAGAAUUUCGGGGUCGAUGUGAUUGGAAAGACUGAGGGGAAAUGAAAGUAAUUCAUGACUGUCUAAAAACAGUUUCAGAUUUGCAGAAAAUAUAUGUGGGCUUGAUGCGUAAAAGAAUUGAAUUUUCAAUUAGAAAAUUAAGUAUUUGUAAAGGUAUUAUAGUGGGAAUAGAAUUUCUAGAUUUAGCUAUAAAGAGAAGUUGAGUUCGCUGUUCAUCGGAUUGAAUGAUAUUAUAAUCAAAACUUGAGAAGACCCGUAAUGUGCUUUUUAUAUAUAUGAUGUGAUGAUACAAAUAAGAUCCUUUAUCUAUAGUAUCUCUUACAAAAGUAGAAACUCAGCUUGUUAUGAUGUAUAGUAAAGAGCAGAUCAUAAUCUUAGCUCAUGAGAUUGAAAAGUUGAGAAAUCUGAGGCUAGGUGAGAAAUUGUUGAGGUUGGUGAAAGAAAAUCAGUAAUUUAUUCUCUGGCAAGAUUUUCGGGGACGAAAAUCCUUAAGGGGGGAGAGUUGUAACAGCCCGUUUUUAGGGUUGAUCGGAACAGUGGUUUCGGGGCCACCAAAUCUGAACGAGUAGGUUGGUAAAUAUUAUAUUUAAUAUUUACGAGUUAAUUGUGAUUUUAAAAAUAUUUUUGAUAUUGUGAUUUUUGUUUUAUAAGCGAUUUAUUAAGUUCAAGUGGUAUGACUCUAAGGUCAAGUGGGUUUAGAAAAUGAGGUAUCGGGACCUUGUUUCUAUAAACUGAGUCGUAAAUAUUUUUAUAAAUAUUUACGUAGUGGUAAUAAGAUGGUAUUAAAGUUUCGUUGAAAAAUUUUAUCGUUUCGAUAGUUAAUUAUGCAAAAAGGACUAAAUUGUGUAAAGUGCAAAAGUUGUGUUCUAUAACCUAAAGGUAUUAAAUAGAUAUAGAACUUAAAAGUAGAAGUCUUUAUUUGGUAAUUAGCCCAUUAAAGAGAUAGUGGGAUAUGAUGGCUUGGCAUUUGGUGUAAUAAAUAAAGUGUAUAAAGGUUAAUAUUGUAAAUUGGUUAAAAAUAAUAAUAACAUAAAUAUAAUAAAAGAAUCAAGGAGUCAUCUUUUUCAUUCUCUUUUACUAGCCGAAUAUGAAGGCUUGAGAAGCCAUAGAAGAAGCUUCCAACUUUCAGCUAAUGCAUGAUCAAGAUCGGGUGGAAAAUCGAGAAAAAUAAGAAAAUUACCAAAAUGCCCCUAAACUUUGGUAUCUCUACAAUUUAGCCAGGUAAGUUCAUAUGCAAUAAGCAUUGUUAAAUUUAUGUUUCUAAUGCUUUAAUAUCGUAUAAAUUGUAUAUACAUGAAUAUUUUAAUGUCUGACGACAUAUCGACAAAAUGUGGCACUUAGUGUGCGGGGCAAUCAAAUAUGGUACUCAGUGUACGAAAUAUUGAGAAUGGCACUUAGUGUGCGAGAUAUUGAGAAUGACACUUAGUGUGCAAAAUAUCGAAUGAUUCAAAGGGAAAUUAUAAAUUGUGAUUGAAUGAUUAAAUAGAGCAAAGUAAACAGGUAUACAUGCUAUAUUAUAUGAAUUGUUUAUGAAACCUUGUGUUAAAUCGGCAAUUGAAUUUGUUCAAUACAUUAAGUUGGCCAGGUAUGUGAUAUAUACUUAUGCAUGUUAGAUUGAUUGGAAUUGAAUCAUGAAUGUGAAAUGAGAAGCAUAGGUGAAAAUGCCUAUGUCAUAUAUGUGAGUAAGGGCAAAACAAUCGUAAAUUAUCGAUAAGGGUGGACUAUGUGCGGAAUCAUCUUAUAAUUGCUAAUUUGAACGGUUGUGUGCAAAUCAUUGAGCAUGAUGUAUUGUAUUGAGAUUAUGCUUAAGUGAAAUUAUAGAUAUGUGAUGAAAUUGAUUGGUGAUAUACAUGUUUAAAUAAUGUGAAUGCAAAGAAUGUGUGAAAGAGUAAAUUUGUAAUAAAUCUGCUUGGGACAGCAGCAGUAAUGUGAUUUUUGAAAAUCACCAUAAAAUUUUGGAGUUGAGUUAGAAGCUUAAUAAAUUAUGUAAUUAAAGCUUAAUGAGUCUAGUUUCUUCUAAAAGAAACCGUGUAAGCAAAAGAAUUUCUGAUAAUGAGAUAUUUGAAGUUGCGUGGGAUAGAGUCAAAUGACUUCGGGGUCCCCUGUUCUGUUUUUAGAAAAUCAUUAUAAUUUUAACAAAAAUGAUUAUAAGAUAAAAUUUAUAUGCUUAGAGUCCUUAAUGAGUCUAGUUUCAAAUUAAAUCAAAGAAAACAUAUUUUUAAUUUUGUACAAUGAGAAAUUUGAUUCGUAGUGAAGAGUGGUCAGAUUAGUCAAACAGUGGAAUAGGGGAAACUUUAAGAAAAAUAUGGUAUCGAUUGGCCAAACCAAAAAUUCUGAAAAUUUUAUGGAUGGAAGAUAUAUGAGUCUAUUUUUAGGGAAAAUUAACAGAAAUUGAUUUGGAGUUUUGUAGCUCCAGUUAUAAAUAAUUUAGUGACUAUUGCCCAGGAAGACAACUUGUAGUGAAUUUGUGAUUAUGUUGUAAACAUUGAUAAAACUUGUUAAUGAGUUGCUUAUUGUUUUCUUAUGAACUUACUAAGCGUAAAGCUUACUCCCCUUUUCUUUCCCAUAUUCCCUAGGGUUGCCAGGUUAGCUCGGGUUGGAGGCUGUCAAAGAUAUUAUCACAUUGUCAAGUCUACGCUAUCGGCGUAAGUAAUCUUAGUGUUUCGAGUCUAUGGCAUGUAUAGGGUUGUAAAGUUGAGUAAGUAAAUGAUACAAGACUAAGAUAUUGGUAAAUAUUUAAUAAUGCCUCAUGAAUAUUUUGGGCCUUGUAAGCCAGAUUAAAGGAUAAUAUACGUGUGUAUGAAAAUUUUAAAAUUGAUCAAAAAUUUUUACGGUCUAUUUUUAUAUAAAUGGAUGAGUUUAAAUCUGGUAGCACCUCGAACCCUGUUCCGGCGAGGGAUACGGGUGAAGGGUGUUACAGAAACGAGAUCUACAAUCUUCAACCUACUCCACUACAGCUUUAGGGAGCUAGGAUGAUGGUUUAAAUCUGCUUUACUGCAACUUCAGAAAGACCAGAUUCGCCGUCUUCGAUCUGCUCCACUACAACUUCAGGGAAACAAGAUCAACAAUCUUCAGCCUACUCCACUACAACUUUAGGAAGCUAGGAUGGUGGCUUAAAUCUGCUUCACUGCAACUUCAGAAAGGCUAGAUUCGCCGUCUUUGAUCUACUCCGCUGUAACUUUAGGGAGACAGGAUCUGUAGAAUCGGUUUCAUAGGCCUAUGCGUAUGUCAAAUAAUUAGGAUGCUAUGAUCGAAAUGAAUCAAGUGUUCCUAACUAGAUGUGGUGUUUAUGUCAAAUAAUUAGAAUGCUAUGAUCGAAAUGAAUCAAGUGCUUCUAACUAAAUGAAUGAUUAUGAAUGUAGAAAUGUUAUGAGAGUAAUUCCUUUUUAAACGCUUAAGGUAUCAUUACUCAUAGUUCAUCAGGGUUCUAUCAUUGAUGCGCUAUUGCGUCUUCUUGCUUAGCCGUUAUCUUUGACAGAAAAUUUGAAGAAAUAGUCACAAUUUGGACUAUUAUUUUUCCAAUAUUUCCUACUUUUGAGUCUGGUUAGUUCUGACUAGUGGCCCUGUUUUAGGUCCUUGUACUAUUUAGAAACCUUCCAGAGUAAUAUGCAUAACUCCUUUUGUGUGAGUGUUAUAAGUCCAAAAAUCGUGAUUUCAACAAAAAUGCUCGAAAGAGAUUAUCAUAAUAGACAAGAUGGAAUUUUAUUGAGUGAAACUCGAAGUGAAUACAUUAAACAGGAUAGCAAAUCUGUUAAGGCACAAACAUGAAAAAAGGUGCCCCAGAUAUCGCAGCACGAGCUUCACUAUUCCAAUUUCUCAAAGGCUCAUUCGAACUAAAUGUGUGUUCGGGAGAUCCUGUGUAUUUUGUUGAUGCUCCAAGAUGUACUGCUUUUCCCUCUUAUUAAUUUUGGGAGGACAAGACUACCAUAUGCCCCAUAUUCAAAAUUUGAGCUGCCUGUUUUCGGGUUUUUAACUCAAAAUCCCUUUUGGUUUCAAAAUGCCCUUUGCGGGUUUUCACAUUGGCCUCUCUAUUUUUUUUAGGUCUUAAAGCGCCCUUUGCGGGUUUUCACCUUGGCCUUUCCCUUUUUUAGGUAAAAUACUUUUUGACGAAAUCUAAAUUUAUAGGAUUGGGCAAGUUUUUACCAUCCAUCUCGGCUAGAAUUAAUACUCCUUCGGAUAAAGCUUUCUUCACCAUGUAAGGCCUCUCCCAAUUAGGCAUCCAUUUUCCUCUAAAUUCCUUCUGUAUGGGAAGGAUCUUUUUCAAGACCAGAUCCCCCUCAUGAAACUCUCUUGGGCAGACCUUCUUGUCAUAAGCCCGCAUCAUUCAUUUUUGGUACAUCUGACUAUGACGGAUAGCUUUUAUUCUCUUUUUCUUAAUCAAGUUCAAUUGAUCGUAUCGAGAAUGGAUCUAUUCUGCUUCAUCUAACUUUAACUCCGACAAUACUCGAAGGGAUGGGAUCUCCACUUCGAUUGGCAAAACCGCUUCCAUUCCGUAGACCAAAAAGAAAGGCGUUGCCUCAGUUGAGGUUCUGACUAAUGUUCGAUAAGCAAAGAGGGCAAAUGGUAACUUCUCAUGCCAAUCUUUGUAGGUCUCAGUCAUCUUCUCCACGAUCUUCUUGAUGUUUUUAUUGGCCGCUUCCACUGCCCCAUUCAUUUUCGGGCGAUAUGGUGACGAGUUGUGGUGUCUGAUCUUGAAUUGACUGUAGACUUCCGCUAUCGUACUAUUGUUCAAGUUCAAUGCAUUGUCAGAUAUGAUCCUCUCCGGCAUUCCAUAUCGACAUAUGAUCUCCUUUUUCAGAAAUUUGCUCACUGCCGACUUUGUAACAUUGGCAUAUAAAGCGGCUUCUACCCAUUUGGUGAAGUAGUCGAUAACCACAAAGAUGAACCGAUGCCUAUUGGAAGUUUUCAGUGAUAUUGGUCCAAUCACAUCCAUGCCCCACAUAGAGAAAGGCCAUGGGGAAGCCAUGACAUGGAGCGGCGAAGGGGGUACGUGAAUUUUGUCUCCAUAGAUUUGGCAUUUAUGACAUCUCUUGGCGUAAUUGACACAAUCUCCUUAUAUAGUGGACCAAUAAUACCCGAAUCUCAUAAUUUGUCUGGCCAUUGUAAAGUCAUUAGCGUGUGUCCCACAGACGCCCUCAUGGACUUCUUCCAAGAUUUUCUUAGCCUCUACAGUGUCUACGCAUUUUAAUAGCACUUGAUCUUUUCUUCUUUUGCAUAAGAUCUCCCUAUCUAAGACAUAGUCAAUGGCCAAUCUUCUCAGUGUCCUUUUGUCAUUCUCGCUUGUCUAGUCCGGGUACUCACGAUUCUUCACAUAUUGCAAUAUAUCGUGAUACCAAGGGUGGUCGUCAUUUUCUUCAUCUUCUUCGAUAUUAUAACAGUGGGCCGGAGUUUCAUAAAUGCUCAUCCGGAUGGGUUUGACAUCUUCCUGUUUGUUCACCUUGAUCAUGGAAGAUAAGGUAGCUAAACCAUCGGCCUUUUCAUCCCGUGGAAGGUAGCGGAAGGUAAUGUCAUCGAACUCUUUAACCAAUUCAAGGACCAGUUUCCGGUAAUCGAUCAACUUGGGAUCUCUGGUCUCUCAUUCUCCUUUGAGUUGAUAAAUUACUGACGUAGAAUCUCCAUACACCUUUAGCACUUUAAUCUUGCAUUUUAUGGCUGCACGGAUACCUAUGAUGCACGUUUCGUAUUCUGCCAUGUUAUUCGUGCAAUCAAAAUCCAAUUUACUAGUGAAUGGAUAAUGAUUUCCGUUUGGGGAUACCAAGAUUGCCCCGAUUCCAUUACCAACGGCAUUUGAUGCCCCAUCGAGUUUAGUUUUCAAAGAAAUUCUUCCGGAGCACCUUCUUCAAUGGUCGCAACACACAUCAGGUCUUCAUUUGGGAAAUCGAAGUUCAAAGGCUCGUAAUGUUCCAAAGCUCUACUGGCCAGAAAAUCUGCUAUUGCACUCCCUUUCACUGCUUUCUGGUUCACAUAAAUUAUGUCGAAUUCAGAGAGCAGAAUCUGCUAUCGGGCAAUCUUUCCAUUCAAAGCUGUCGACUCCAUCAUGUACUUCAAAGGGUUCAGUUUUGAGAUGAGCCAAGUAGUGUGAUACAAGAUAUACUGUCUUAACCUCCAGGUUGUCCAAACCAGGGCACAACAUAACUUUUCUAUCGGUGGAUAUCUUGUCUCACAUUUAAUGAAUUUUUUACUAAGGUAGUAAAUGGAUUUUUCUUUCCUUCCUGAUUCAUCAUGCUGACCCAAUACGCAUCCCAUGGAAUUCUCAAAUACUGCCAAAUACAAUAUCAACGGCCUAUCGGGGUUAGGUGGCAUCAGCACCGGAGCGUUGGAUAAGUACUGUUUGACCUUGUCGAAAGCCCUUUGGCAUUCUUUAUCCCAUUCACCUGGGUUGUGUUUCUUGAGGAGGCGAAAAAUGGGGUCACAUUUCUCGGUUAGUUGUGAAAUAAACCGAGCGAUGUAAUUUAAUCUUCCUAGAAAGCCUCGAACCUCUUUCUAGGUACGCGGCGAAGAUAGCUCUUGUAUGGCUUUGACUUUGUCUGGAUCGAUCUCAAUCCCUUUUUCACUAACCACGAAUCCGAGAAGCUUUCCAGACUUGGCUCCGAAGGUACAUUUGGCUGGAUUGAGUUUUAGCUGGAACUUCCUCAACCUUAAGAAUAACUUCCUCAGGACUUGUACGUGCUCUUUCUCAGUUCGGGACAUUGCGAUCACAUCAUCGACAUAAACUUCAAUUUCUUUGUGCAUCAUGUCGUGAAACAGGGUUACCAUGGCCCUUUGAUAUGUUGCCCCCGUAUUCUUUAGUCUAAAUGGCAUUACCUUGUAGCAGAAUGUCCCCCACAUGGUUACAAAUGUGGUCUUCUCCAUGUCUUGAGGAUGCAUCUUGAUCUGGUUAUACCCAGAGAAACUGUCCAUGAAUGAAAACAGUGAAUGGCCUGCCGUGUUGUCCACUAGGGUGUCAAUAUGAGGCAGUGGGAAAUUAUCUUUCGGACUGGCUUUGUUCAAAUCUCUAUAGUCUACACACAUUUGUACUUUUCCAUCCUUCUUCGGGACGGGACGAUGUUGGCUACCCAUUCGGAGUACUUUAUCACCUUUAAAAAUCCAGCGUCAAACUGCUUUCUAACCUCUUCUUUUAUUUUUAGCAAGACGUCGGACCUCAUACUUCAGGGUUUUUGCUGAACUGGUUUACACUCUUCCUUUAUAGGGAGUCAGUGCACCACAAUAUCAGUGUUCAACCCGAGCAUAUCUUGGUAUGACCAUGCAAAAACAUCUUUGAAUUCUCGAAGUAAUUCGAUAAGAUCUCGCUUCAUCUCCAUGGUGAUACAAGUUCCGAUCUUCACCUCUUGCCCCUCUCCUAAGCUCAUAAUUUCUACUGUUUCUUUGUGAGGUAGGAUUUGUUUCUCGUCUUGUUCUACCAUCCUCAACAAAUCAGGAGAUAGGUUACAGCCUUAGUCAUCUUCGAAAUCCUGAGAAUCCUCCAUACACAUAUCUCGCUCAAAAGGAGACUCUGAGCCACUAGCAGUGUCACUGAUAUCAUUGAUAUCUGGGGACCUGUUAUGAGGAUGAAGGAAGAUACUUAUUUGUAUGGUAUGAUUAUUUGUAUGGUAUCAUUCAUAAUCUACUUUCAUUCUUCAUUAAUAUCAUUCAUAAUCUACUUUCAUUCUUCAUUGAUAUCAUUCAUAAUCAUUGAGCCACUAGCAGUGUCACUCAUAUCAUUGAACACUUAUUUGUAUUGUAUGAUUAUGAAUGAAGAAUGAAAGAAUAUUUAGAAGAGUGUUCGAAGAACAAAAGAAUCCAAAAGUAAUAUAAUUAUGAAUGAAAUUGAAAGAAUGAGAGAAUAUCUACCCAAAAUGGUAAUAACUGUACAUUUCAUUGAAAUAACGUUUUUAAACAUAAGCCUAUUUCACAAAAGAUUCUUAUUACUCCUAGGCCUAGAGCAAUAAGUGUGUUUUGGAUAUUACUCUGAGUCAGUUCUAAAAACUACAGGAAUCUCUUCCGCAGUCUAGUUAUCCAAAACACUUCCAGGUAUGUAGGGGCAAAUGCCCGAAAAAUUUUCCUCUCCAGUCUCUUCUUCGUAUGUGGCGUUGAUGUUCAAGCUUUCCAACCUUUCUUCUAUGGCUUCUUUUCUUGGCGUGCUUCUUUCGGGAUGAACGAUUCCUCUGGACACAAAAUUUUUCGAUAUGUGGGGAAAUAUCAUUGGCUCCCAUUUGAUUUCCUCCCCCUUCAACCUUACUCUCCUUCUUUCUUGCUUCUUUUUCAGCUCUUUUCUCCUUUGUCUUGCAUCUGGCUUAAAUUCUAAGCCGAAACGAUCUCUCUUGUCCUUCAAUACCGGCGUUUCAAUCCUUCCUUGGAGAUGUCUCUCGAGCUCUCUUCCGGGUAGGGCCCCUUUUCCAACCAUCAACUAUAGACUCAUCCUUGUAGUUUUGGACAAUUUUGGCAUCAAAAUCUUUCUUCCAUUGGCGAUGAAUGUCACGUUAACAAAUUCCAAAGACCGAAAUGAGCAUUCGAUUGCUUUGUCAUCUGUCUCCAAAUAGGGCGCAUUACUGCUUACAGUUGCACUGAUGUCCUCUUCAGCAUUGAUCGUUAUCAACCGCCCCUCUGAUACCAGCUUCAAAUUUUGAUGCAAUGAUGAAGGCACUGCCCCAGCUGAAUGUAUCCAAGGCCUCCCCAAUAAGAAAUUGUAUGAGGGCUUGAUAUCCAUCACUAGGAAAUCCACCUCAUAUGUGUUUGGCCCGAUCUGAAGAGGUACCUCGAUUCUGCCGAUCACCCUUCUCUCCGUACCAUCGAAUGCUUUCACUAUGUUCUGGCACUCCUUCAUGUGAGAGCUGUUUAUAGGUAAUUUGUUUAGCGUAGUUAAUGGCAGGACGUUCAAGGCCGACCCAUUGUCAAUCAGUACGCCUGGCAGCGUAUACCCCUUACAGCGCGUGGUAAUGUACAAAGCUUUAGUCGACCCCAUGCCACUGGGUGGUAUCUCGUUGUCAUUGAAGAAGAUAUAGCUUUCGGCACUUAUGUUGCUAACCAAACGGUCCAGCUUGUUGACAGAGAUAUCAUUGGCAACAUAUGUUUCAUUCAGGACCUUCAUCAGCACGCUGCGGUGGACUUCUGAACUCAGGAGUAAGGCCAGCACCGAGAUAAGAGCUGGUUAUUUACGUAGCUAUUCCACCACGCUGUACUCGCUGUGUUUUAGGAAUUUCAAAAACUCCUUAGCCUCCUCCUCGUUAACUGGCUCAUUAAUAGGAAGUUCAUAUAUGGUCGCUUUUUCUUUCAUCUCUUCGACCACUAGGGCUUUUCCUUUUACAGGUUGUGCCUUUUCACUUGAUGUAUCGUAGCGUCUCCCGCUACGUGUAUAGGAGCCCCUAUCUUGUUCCUCUUUUGAAGUAUCAGCCAAGCUUUGCUUUCCCAGAAUCGUUAUGUUACAAUCAUAAUUCCAUGGGACCCUUUUGCUGUCUUUAUAGGGGAAGACUGUAGGUCUUUGGAGUAUGACCCUCGGUGGCAUUUGCACUCUAGCUUCAUUAUUUUUAGGUCGCGAUAUGAUGACCACAGGGUAGUUAACUGUUCGGAUUCUCCCUCCGAUGCACAUAUAUCUCCCUCUCCGGGGUUUUUUGCUUCUUCAUAAAACUCCAUUUCUUUGUUGUUCAUCAUGCUCUGUACUAGGGCCUUGAACUCCACACACUCUUGGAUUUUAUGUCCCACCUCGUUUUGAAACUCAUAGUAGUUCCUCCCUUCUUCAUACUUUUCUCUCGAAUCCAACGCGAUCAAUCCUCUCUUGACCAUCUCCUUCCACACCCAUCUCAAUGGGGUCCUGACUUUUGCAACCUCACUUUUGAUCCUCUUGUUCUUGCCUUCACUUAUCUCGUUCACUCCUUGGUCGGCAUGAUUGGGGAGCAUAUUUCCUGCUACAUUGGGUACAGCUGGGUCGUCAAACCUCACGAUCCCCAUUUUAAUGAGUCUCUCGACUACUUUCUUGAACGCGGUGUAGUUUUCGAUUGAGUGCCCGGUAAUUCCCACGUGGUAUUCACAUUGGGCGUUUGUGUCAUACCAUUUGGGAUACGGGGGCUGUAGUGACUUCAGGUAAAAAGGCGACACUACAUGAGCGUUGAACAGAUUCUGGUACGGCUCCCUAUACGUCAUGGGUAUAGGGGAGAACUAUGGCCUCUCUGUGUUCUCCCUCGCGUUGGAUUCUUGUCUCACAGUGCUAUGUUGAUUGGUGGCUACCGUCUUUGGUUGAUUUACGGUGAGUGACUUGGACUAACCUUUACCGAAUGUGCUCGUGUUAUUCAUUUCAUUAUCUCUUUUCCUUAGGGCUGACUUUUUGUUACUUUCUCUUGCUUCUAUCUUAUCGCUCCUCACAGCAUUUUCAAUCAUUUCACCGGUCAUUACUAUGUCUGAGACGCUUUUGGUGGCGUUUCCCAACAUAUGGGUGAUAAAAGGGGCCUUCAAGGUGUUGAUAAAGAGCAUCGUGGUUUCUUUUUCUAGAAGCAGCGGAUGAACUUGUAUGGCCACUUCUCUCCAUCUUUGUGCGUACUGUCUGAAACUUUCAUUCGAUUUCUUCUCCAUAUUCUGGAGAGUGAUCCUGUCGGGGGUCAUGUCCGUCAUAUGAUUAUAUUGUUUCAUAAAGGCCUAAGCCAGGUAUUUCCAUGAAUUAAUUUUAGCUCGGCUCAAUUGGUUAUACCACUUAGAUGCCGCCCCAACCAGACUGUCCUGAAAACAGUGAAUUAAUAGUUGGUCAUUGUUGACAUAUCCCGUCAUUCGCCUGCAAAAUAUCGUGAUGUGAGCUUCAGGGCAGCUCGUUCCAUUGUAUUUCUCAAAUUCAGUCAUUUUGAAUUUGGGGGGAGGGGAAGGACCAAGUCUGGGACCAAACUCAGGUCCUUAGCAUCAAUCCCUUGAUGAUUAUCUGCGUAUUCCAUAGCUCUGAAUUUCUCCUCCAGCCAUUUACAACGUUUUUCUAAUUGUUUUUGCGAUUCUACCCUUGCCUUUUCUUCUUCUGCAACUUCGUCCAAAUCGGGAAUAGGCGGAUAACUCGAGUUAUUAACAAGGUUAGAGCCUGAACCGGCUUGGAAAUUCAUUGGUAUCGAAGCUCCAGCCUGAAUCUACUGAGGCAUGAUCGUAACAGAUGGUUUUUGUAGAUUAAUCUUGGGCUUCAUCGGUACAUGUGUCAGUGUGAAGCCAGGGGAUUGAGGAUCUUCAUUAGUUUCCUCAACAUUGUCCAUGGGGCCCUUUCCCUUAUCCGUUCUUCCCAUCAGCAAUUGGGAUAACUGACUCAUCAUUUCUCUUUGGGAUUCCAUCAUUUGCUCCUUCAUCUCUCGCUGAAUUUUGGUUAGCUGCUCUUGCAUCUGAGACUGCAUUUGUUCCUGCAUGUCCUUUUGCAUUUGCUCCAAUUUCUCAAGUCUUUUAUCCAUUGACUUUUUCCUUGUACCGUAGGGGUGCAUAGUUGGUUGGUUUUCGUUGGUUUCCAGGUUACUGUAAUGAUUUUUAAUUAAUUAGAAACCUUUUAUGACCUUUAAUGCAUAAUGAUGUGAUGUAAUGCAAAUGCAUGAAUGCAAAUGAGGCAUCAAUUUUAAUUCAAUUCCCUUUAGAAAACUUCACUAGAAAAUAAAAUUCUUUUACAUAAAGUUGAGUUACAAAUAAAAUUUUGCUCUAAUGCUUAAAGUCUUAAUUUUCCUAAGCAACGAAACCAGCUCUUUUCCGUGAUCUGACCCCAACCCGUACUUCAUGCUCAGUGUGUCCGCCUGUACCGCUAAAGCUUGCAAGUAGUCAGCUACCUCCCGGAUCUGGGUUAUAGCUUCCCCCAUAAGGUAAUCCCUGUUUCUGACUUGGUCUUGCGCAUGGUGAAGCUGCUCUUUCUAACGGUCCUCAUUUGUCUCGAAAAACUGAAUCCGCAUCUUAUAAUUUUGCAGUGACGCCUCUAAUUCUUCUAUAUUUCCUUUCAUUUCUUCUAUCUUGCUCAAGCUUGCUCUCAAUUCCAUUGCGAUGUUGCGGUUUCGGUACUGAUGAAGAGACUUCUUGAGUUCUGCCACUCUAGCCUUUAAUUCACCUCGCUCAUUUCUGUUUUCUGAUAGACUCUUCUCUAAAUCUUCAUUUCGUGCCUGAGCUUUUUAGAAAUUCCUUUCCCAUCGGUCUGCUUUGGUUUUUUCUUCUCGAAUUUCAUGGCGCCAUUUUUCGGAAGUUUUACCUAACCUCGCAGUCCUCAUAGACAGGCGUAGCUUCUUAUAAUCAGUCUUCAAGCUGUCUAGAUCUUCUUCGGCCUUAGUUUUCCUUUUUCUCCACUUCUCAGCCUCUGACCUCUGUACAUCAGUGACUAAUCUCAAGUGCAUCUUCUCUUCCUCCAAUUGUUCGAUCUUUUUCCCAAGCUCUAAACUCUUCUUCUCGAAAUCUUACUUUAUAAUUUCCAACUCUAACGGGGCAACUUGUAAUUGUUCCACCUUAGGUCAAGUAUUUUCCAAGCUUGGCCUAGGAACAUUAUCAUUAACCCUCUUCUUGAACCAUCCAUCAUACUCGGGUGUCACCAUGAAAUCGACAGCCAACCUCUUUAUCCAACGAGUUUGCUUCCAAGCAUCCGAUAGCUCCCAAACUUUCUUCUUAUAGUGAGCACCUUUAAAGAAGAAUUCACACUGAGCAAGUUCGUAGGUCGUGGGUACAAACUACCUCGAUUUAUAUUGCCUUAACGCAAGUAAUGGAGUAUACCCAGUAGCUCCCCAAAUUCCUAACAACGGUACCCAAUCAAAGUCCCCACAUCAAUACAUGUUCUCAUCAGGAACCAUCCAAUAAGCUCUCCAUUCUAUAUCCCCCUCAUUGAGGUUUUGGAUGAUUUCCAUCCACUUCUCCUCUAGGAUAUCCUCUCUCCUUUGUAUGGCCGCCUCCUCUUUUAACGGGGAAUAACCUUCGGAAAAGACCUGAUAAGAAACCUUGUCUACCUUCCAAGAGUGCCCAUGAAACUACACCAUCAACAGUUGUGCACAUCCAAUAAACCGCCCCUCAGCUGUCUUCCGACACGUGCUCAAGGACCUAAACGUCUCAGCCAAUAUUGCCGGUACAGGUGUGAUUCCCUUCUCAAGGCGAUCGAAUAAGUUAAUGACUGCCUCGUCCACGUGCCUCAAAUCCUUAGGAAAAAUUACAAAUCCGUAGAUGCUUAAGGUGAAUAUAUCGACCCUCUUUCUUUCAUCUAGAUGCGUCAAAAUCAAAUCUUACAAAUUCUCCCAAGGGAUACAUUUACUAUCUCCUUUUUGUUGAAUCCGAGCAGUGACCCAAGUCUCGCUCAUUUCUGAAAUGUUCAUCAGUUUUUUCACGAAAGUCUGACCAUUAAAAACCCUGGCAUAAGUCUUUCUAACUUGAAUUUUCGGACAGCUGAGCAAGGUAGUGUAUUCCUCCAUGGUAGGUACUAAAUCCACUUCUCCAAAAGUGAAACACUUGUAAGCAGAACUCCAAAACUGAACCAUAACUCGGAAUAGAUGCUUAUCCACUCUAAUGUCUAGCAAGUAGGAUAUAUCACCAUAGCUUUGAUAAAACAACUGUUUGGUCGCUUCAUCCCAAUGAGCCCAUAUAUCUCUCAACUCUUGCAACUCAUUCUGUGCUACAUUAACGCGAGUGAAUUCUUGCAAUUCUGAUAUAUACCCUUCUACCAAGCUAUCCUCUUUCUCCGAUUGUAACUUCUCUAACCAUGUGCGGACGACGACAUUAUCCUCGACUUUACUAAGAAAUUCAUUCUCCAUGUCAAACUUUCUAACUUAGUAAUUGAAUACGAAUCAACACCUCAUUUAGUAUGCAAUGUCAUGCAAAACACAAUCAAAACAAAACACAGGUUAGUAUCAAAUAAUAGUGAUGAAAUGCAAGCACAUAAAUGAUAAUUACAACAUGUAUACGGGUAAAUACUAAGGCUUGAUGCGGCUCUACCCAAGGAUAGCUCUUAAGGUUCACUAUAUGUGGUUCGGUUCUAGAGAUAAGGUACCCGAACUAGCAGAGUCCUUAAUCUUCACCCAUUAUAGGCUCAUAUAGAUCGAGUUCGGUUUAGGGGGAUACAUUUCCCUAUGACCAUGUGGAGAUGAAAAUCUCACGAAAUCAUAGGUACGGAUGUACCCCGGAAGCAAUCCACUAGCCCAUGCGGAGGUGAAAACCUCACGAAAGCAUAGUCUCUUACUCCCACUUAGAAGGUGUGACCACAGCGGUCAUGCAAUGAAAAUGCAAUAUUAUACUACAAGACCCGAAUCAUGGCAAUCAUACAAACAAAUGCAAUUAUGAUUUUCAAAACAAAUUUUCAAUAUUUCGACAAAAGGACAACAAAUAAUCGAUUUCAUGGCUAGACUCUUUUAUCAAAUCCCUAGCGGAGUCGCCAAGCUGCCGAAAUCAUUUUUUUAAAAAUAAUGUUAAAUUUAAUGAAAAAAACGAGAAUCGACUUUUUGAAAAACGAAAAUGGAGUCGCCACUGAUCUUUUUGUUUUGGUGUGAUCGGAUCACCUAAGAAUUUGGUUAUUUUAAUAAAACAUUUUUGGUUUACUAAAACAACGAUUUUGGUCUACGAACUUUUAAGAAAACGGGUUCGGGAGUCGGUUAUGCAUGAGGAAGGAUUAGCACCCUCACUACGCCCAAAAUUGGUACCAAAUCGAUUAAAUAUUGUCCUUAUGUCUAAGAUUUAAAAAUGUUUUUGAAAUGGGAUUCCCUUUUGAUAACGUUUGAAUAACCUGGGUUGGUCAUCAAAAUUCUCUUGCUUAAAAGGAAUACAGCACCACAUCCAGCACGAUACGACAUGAUCCUUUAUGCCCUCGAAAACAUGAUAAAUUUUGACUUCCAAAAAUUUAUACGUUGAAAACCGCAAAAGGAUGCCCAAUUAUUUAGUCCAACGAGAAAAUCGAAACCCAGCAUAGUAGGGCACGACUCCUCGAAUUUCUAGAUAUCAGACAUUGCCUUAUUUUAGAAUUUAGAGAGUAUGAGUGAAAUUCUAAAGGAAUCUUCGAUCAUUUUGGACAAACGAGAAAUUGCAACCCAGCACGAUAGGGCACGAUUCCGUGAAUUGCCAAAUAUCGAACAUCGCCUUCGUUUAAAGAAUUUUUAAAAGACAUGAGUGAAAUUCUAAAGGGACCUUCGAUUAUUUUGAACAAACGAGAAAUUGCAACCUAACACGAUAGGGCACGAUCUCGCGAAUUGCCAAAUAUCGAACAUCGCAUUUGCUUAAAGAAUUUUUAAAUGAAUAAUUAUAAAACUAGCUUAAAACGCAAUAAUUCGACUUGAAAUAAAACGGAAUUAAUUUUAAAGAUUUGGACCUUAUAAAACCAAAUUUCGUAAACCAAGUGGAAAACCAUGAUAUGGGAUAAUACACACAUACGAUACAAUGCCAAUUAACAAACUAAUAAUCAAGCAAGGCUAAUCUAAGACGAAUGUAAUCGAACUUCUAAACAUGGAUGGAGCAAUUGAUAUAACAAUAAAAUGAAUAAAUAAUAUACAACGAUAAUAUACAUAGAAUAAUAAAAAGCUAUCAAUGCAAGAUGUAUAGAACAAAGUAACAAUUUGAAGUUAAUGUGAUAUAAGACAUUUCUUAAAACAAUGACGAAUAAAUGAACACAUAAUAUAUAAUGUUGACAAAUUUGCAUAAAAACUAAGGAUAUAUAAUUUUUGAAAUAGAUAUCAUAGAAUAAAAGUUUGAAUCAAAUUGCAUGAAAAAUAUUCUAAACACAAAUUCAUUUAAAAGUUGACAAAGUACAUGAUAAUUUGAAUAAUAUAUAUAAUACGAAAGAAAAAUAAAGGUACAUAACAAUACAUAAUACACAAAAUAGAUUUAUAAAACAUAUGUACAUGUAAAUUUAUUGUAAAAGAUCAUGAGAUUAAUAAUAAUAUAUAUAAAAAUUUUAAGUCAGUGUAGAAAUUAUAUACAUACCCUUAUAUCAAAAACAUUUAAAUAAGAGGCUAUAAAAAACACAAAAGUAAUAUAAUAUAAAGAAACAUUCAAAAAUAAUAAUUUUAUAAUUUCAAAGAUGAAGUUUUUAAAAUAGUUUCAUAUAUACAUAAAGAAAAUACUUGAUAAAUCAUAAAGCAAAAAGUGUUUUAAAUAAAAAAUCUAUUAAAGUAAUAAGUGUAUUAAUAUGUAUACAUAUAAAUUUAAAAGCAAGUACAUGUAAAAUAACAUAGAAAUGAUAACCUGUAUAGGACUAAAUUAAUUUUAUUAUAAAUUACACAAUAGAUUAAAUACGGAUAGAUUAAAUAUAUAAAGAAAAAAUAUAUGUAUAAAAUACACGAGUUUAAUAACGUAUAGAUUAAAUACGGAUAUCCAUAAAUGUAUAUACAUAUAUGAUAAUAGCUUAAAAAAUAUAUAUUAUGUAGGAUUAUAUAAUAAAAUACAAGAAUAAAUUUAAAAGAAAUCAUGUGCGUAAAAUGAUAUAAGGUUAAUAAUAUAUAUAUAAAAUAAAAUUAACUUUAAUACAAAGUAUAUGUAUAUAUAUAUUAAUAUUUAAACAAGAGGUUAUAUAAGAGUAUUAAAAUAGCUUAAUGCAAAAAGAAUUUUAAAAUGAUAAUUUUAUUAAGCAAAAUAAAGUUGUGCACAUACAAAUAUAUAUAUAGCAAUAAAUAAUAUUGUACAGAAUAUUAAAAUGAAUCAACACAUGUUCAAACAUUAAACAUAUUGUAAAAUAAUAGGCUAUACUAAUAGGAGAUUAAAUUAAAAUUUAAUUAAAAUAAGAGGGGUAAUUUGAAAAUAAAGCAGUAACAAUAAAAGGACACGCGCAAAUGUGUAGGGACUCAAACUGGAAAUAAUCCAGCCCUCAAAACGCAGUGAUCAGCUGCGGAUCCAUUUGCAAAAGAGUGUGAAUUACAGGGAUAAUUUAAAAAAAAACAAAAGAAGCACAGAUAUGAGCUGAUUUGAACACGGCGCGAAAAGGGAGGGACUCAUAUAUCAAAUAACCCAUCUGAAGCACAAAGGCGCGGGUUCGGGUCCUGGAACGGGUCGACGCGCGGAUCCCUUUCCCCCCAGAACGGUGCCGUUUCGUUAUAUGCUUAAAAAUUGAAGAAAAUGAAUGGCCUUUUGCCAUUUUUUGAGCCAUAAACCAAAGACCCAAGCAUUAGGGUUACAGCACAGCAGAUUUUAAUGCUUUCCCAUCCCCUUUCCAUUCGGCCGAAUUAGGAGACCUUUAGACUGCCGUUUGGCCUCUAUGUCUAGCCGACGGUCAUCACUUGAAGGCCCAAUCUAGCUCCGUCCAACCGUGGAUCCAAGGUUUUUGCUCCAAAGCUUCAAAGUCCUCGCCUAAACUUCGAUUACAACGAAGUAGCUAGGAUUCGAAGGAGCCAAAUAUGAAGGUAAAUCUCUUUUCCUUACUCUUUUUCUUUUUAAAAACGAAUAUCAAUCAUGAAGAAAAGCAAAAAGAAAAAUGAAUGAGAUGCUAGAUUUAAAACAAUCACCUUUUCAAUUCGUGAUUUCUACUUUGUUCUAUUUGAUAUCUUUUUGUAUGUGUUUUUUCGUAAAAAAAGAAGGGGCUUUUACAAUCGAAAAAUGAAAGGCUUUAUAGCCGAAUCAUCAAAAUAAAAUAAUAAACACAAUUUUCUUUUUCUUUUUUCGUAUUGGCUUGUUGCUGCUGUUGUUUGUCUGUUUCUUCGUAGGUACGGAGUGUGCCUGGCGCGAGUACGAGGGCUGGGCUGGCGUACGGAGGCGCGGGUGUGGCUGCUAGAGGGUACGGAGGCUGGGGCUGCUGCGGCUCAAGCAGAGACUACUAGGGUUCUGCCUUGAUUUUUUUGUUUUUGGGCUGUAGGAUAUUUGGGUCUAGGUUUGGGCUUGUAAUAAGUUUGGGCUAUGUUAAGGUAUUUGGGUCAUUGUAAUAACUUUGGGCCUUGGACUGUUUCUAUUUUUGUUUGGGUUUUAUAUUUAUUUGUUUGUAACGGGCUGGGCAAAUUUGGCCCACUACAGAAAUGAUAUGUUCUUCAUAUUUUAAUAAAAAUUAAUUAAAUGUAUUUAU
This 24947-nucleotide long non-coding RNA is filed under the name Gossypium barbadense (sea-island cotton). RNAcentral describes it as "long non-coding RNA (GBAR_LNC007433)". Lineage: Eukaryota; Viridiplantae; Streptophyta; Magnoliopsida; Malvales; Malvaceae. The record is from RNAcentral.